GCGAGCGAAAAAAAAAUAGAAAGGUUCAAUCGGCAACCACGUAAUCGCACCCUUAAUUACCGCUAACUGCCCACCCAAUCCCACCUCGAAAUUAGCGCUAACCCAAAAUUUAACCCUCCCAGAUCUUGGUCUCAGGAAAUCCACCGGGGCGUCCCUGCCCCAUCCGGCCGCCUCCUCCAUGGCGACUGGCUCCCAUCCGGCCGCCUCCUCCAUGGCGAGAACCGUGUCCAGAGGAGGACCAUCACGACCAUGAGUUCCCCGUCGUCGUCUCUCUCCGUGCUUAACCGGCUAGAUCUUGUUGGCCUCAAGCAGCACCACCAACAGGAUCCAGGCGAGCAUGCGGCUGCUCCUCCACCGUCAUGUGACGCGUGUAGUGGCCGUUCACCGGGAGAGACCGAGCUCCACGAUCACCACCACUCACUUGAUGUGCAUGUCCACACGCCAUCGACAAGUCGACCCGCGAAAGAAGCUGGCCCUACCGAUCAGGAUGACAUCGAUGAGGAGGAAGCAAUGGUGUGACGUCAUGGAUCCCACCUGUAAGUGCGUGAGUGUGUGGCUACAGUUUUCUACAAUAUUGUGAAAACCACGAUGUGUUUGGCAGUCACGGUAUUUGCCACUAUAUUUGGUGAUCCGGUCAUCAAUAUGUUCAUGUUCUACAACCCUAUCGGCCCCGGGCAAAGAAUCACACACUUUAUCAUAGGCGAGGACUGGUCGUGGCUAUAUGCAAGUGUGGUCGCCGACACCCAGGCAGGCUCAACGUAUCGCAUGCAUACACGGGCUCUUUUCUUCAUACUAUGCACCUUGAAUUCUGUGAGAUAUACACGUACAUUGCUCCCAAGUACAUUGCUCCCAAGUCAUAUAGAGGUUAAUGCUCAAUCUUUGUUUCAUUUUUAAGAAACUAAUUGGUGAUGCUUUGUACAUAAUAGUCAGGAUCUGGUUCACAUGACUAUGUUGCCCUGCAUAAAUGAUCUUCACCACUCUUUAUACCCUUUUAUAUAUUGUUUGACAUUUGUACUUUUCUAUCUGCAGAUGAGUAAGAGAAGAAAAAUGAAUGUGCCCCUGUUUACAUCAAGAGAAUGUACCCCAUAUAAGGACCUAACAAACACAACUAUGGAUGGUAGUGCUAAUAUCCCACAUAAUCAAACGGACGAUCCUAAAAGGAAAAGUGUUCAAUCAUGGUAUGCCAAUGUCGGAUGAGAAGAAAGCGGAAUACAACGCGAAGUGUCAUAUAUCCUGACAACAAACGAGAGUUGCAGCUCUAGACUGUCUUAACCAGGACCAAUUAUCACAAACAUGUGUUUCUCCGUUAGACUGUGCUAUGGUUCAUCUCUACAACAGUUUCCCUAUCUAACAUCAUGUGUAUCUAAGUGCAGCUUCUGGUCAGGCCCCACUUGUUUCUGGCGAUCCCAGGUUCCAGUCAAAUGCAAUAGGAUAUGUAAUGCUUAUUUGUCACAUUCAUUCAUUAUGUACUAACUCUUCUCUCCUGUGACGGUAAUGUGUCACAAAUUCAUCAAAAAAUGUGCCACUCCCUCUGAUGCUCCCUCAUGGUGCUAGAAGAACUCCCAGGUCAGAAAAAUUAUCACGGUUGCUUCAACAUUUAUCUCUUCGAGCUGUAAUAAGAGUUUUGCGACAAGGCUGCCUUGCAAUAUAAUGUACGACCGUAUUAUUUUCUAAAGAUUUUGUAUUGCCUGACCAUUAAUUUGGCUUCAAAUGCUCCUGAUGAGGCUUGAAAGUUCAUUAAGUGUGGUAAGACCACUCUCACAUUCAGGUU
Molecule: RNA transcript, 1771 nt
Organism: Triticum aestivum (bread wheat)
Lineage: Eukaryota; Viridiplantae; Streptophyta; Magnoliopsida; Poales; Poaceae
Exons: 3
Source: RefSeq, a predicted model, not a curated record